Molecule: small nucleolar RNA, 93 nt
Organism: Neodiprion fabricii
Lineage: Eukaryota; Metazoa; Arthropoda; Insecta; Hymenoptera; Diprionidae
Product: small nucleolar RNA snR60/Z15/Z230/Z193/J17
Exons: 1
Source: RefSeq, a predicted model, not a curated record
CAUUUUAAUCUGAUGAUCCCAUAGUUCAACUGAAAAUAGCUAUUGUUGAUGUCUACAUUAAGCAAUGUCUUUCGCUCCUAUCUGAUUCAAUCU